CACAUUAAAGUCCUUAAUAAAGAUUAAGGUAUUAUUGGGCCGUUUCCAGGCCCCCAAAAGGUAAAAGCCCAUUACAAUCAGUAUAAAUAAAGGUUUCAGGUAUCGCCUUGUGAAUAUUGGGCACUACUGCUCGGUGGAACUUUGGGCACUACCCCAGCCACAGUCACGAGGUUAAUCCGUUAUCACUCACCUUGGAUCAUAUGGAAGCACCCAAGACUAGGACCUCCUGCUACUCCUCACCACAUGGUUCAAUCCUCUCUACAUGAGAAGAAAGACCAUUGGAGUUUCAGGAUGACCCCAAAACUGAGCUACCAUGUAAUCAAUCAUUCUAGACAACCCCAAAACACCACCAUGUAUCCUCUCCUUGAGAAUCAUAGAAUUACGUCCAUAAAUCAUAUUGUUACUUUGAACCUUAUCCCAAAUCAUGAAUAACCAGAUACCUCCAUAAUAUCACAUUAAAUCCAACAUAUCUCAUACAUUCACAUAAAUCGCA
RNAcentral lists this small RNA (493 nucleotides) under Vigna angularis var. angularis. RNAcentral's name for it is "Non-protein coding transcript". The record is from RNAcentral. Lineage: Eukaryota; Viridiplantae; Streptophyta; Magnoliopsida; Fabales; Fabaceae.